UCCAACCUCUUCUCUUCGGUGGUUUCCCAUGCUUCUUCUCCCCUUUUUCUUCAUCUCCCUCUCUCAGAAAAUGUGUUGCUUAUCUUCCUUCUCUUUAACCCCAUCCGCACCGUCCGCACCUUUCUUCUCUUCCUAUGCCCCUAUUAACUAUAUAAUCUAAACCCUCCUCCAAAUUUCCCCAAACCACUGCCUCUAAAUCCUAUUGCCCUUUCCUGAAUUAAGAUCUAGGUUUCUUAGCUCGAUUUCAUUUCAUCAUUCUCAUCAGUUCUUAUCCUCAAUUGACUUUCUGAGGUUGUUUCUUUGGCAGGUUGUUGAAAUGAAGAGGGCAGCAUACUAUAAUACUGUUUCUGUCCCACAAGUUCAGGAACAAUGGCCUAUCAAAAAAGCCCUUACAUUGUCUGAUGUGGAUAUUACUCAUCCAUUCCUAACUCUGUCCAGGCAGCAAGUUGAUAAUCACAUUAUUGUGCACAUGACACAGCAGCAACAGGAUCAUUUGAGAGCUGUAGGCCAGGUGGAUUUCAAUGCAAGAGAUGAUGACACUGGUGAAAUGUAUGUGAUGAAGUUGAAGUGGCGUGGGAGUUAUUAUAAUCUGAUUGGCAAAUGGGGAAAAGUUGUUCGAGGAAAGGGACUUGAUGUUGGUCAAGAAAUUUAUAUAAGGUGGGCUAAUGGCUGCUUGUACUUUUCGGUCCCUCAACAGCAGAUUGUCGCUGUACCACCUAUUCGGAUGGUCGCAGCACCACCAGUGCAGGACCAGUGGCCUAUUAAAAAGGUGUUAACGCUGUCUGAUGUGGACACCAAUCAUCCUUUUCUCCCUUUGCCUCGCCGAUUGGUUGAAGAUCAUAUUCUUUAUUACUGGUCACAGGAACAACGAGAAGUAUUGAGAAGGGAAGAGCAGGUAAAUGUGAACGCCAGAGAUUAUGAUACUGGUGAAAUUUAUUUGAUGAAAUUGAAGUGGAGGGGUAAUUACUACAACCUCAUUGGCAAAUGGGGAACAAUAAUUCGACAGAAGGGACUGGGUGUUGGGAAAGAGAUCAAUUUGCGAUGGUUGAAUGAAUGCUUAUACUUCUCAGUUCCUCAGCAGCGAUAUGUUGCAACGGCAUCAGGACAGGAUAAUUGGCCUAUUAAGAAGGCGCUCACGUUGUCUGAUGUGGAUACUAAUCAUCCAUUUCUUACUUUACCUGGCAAGGCUGUUGAAGAUCAUAUUCUGUUCUACUGGCAGCCUCAGGCCCGUGAGCAGUUGAGGAAUGAGCAUCAGAUAAGUGUUAAUGCUCGGGAUGAAGACACAGGUGAUCUAUAUUUGAUGAAGCUCAAAUGGAGAGGAAGUUAUUACAAUCUGAUUGGCAAAUGGGGCAAAAUUGUCAGAGGCAAGAGACUUCAGGUUGGAAGUGAAAUCAGACUUCGUUGGGACAAUAACUGCUUGCUUUUCUCAGUUCCUCAGUGAUGCUGUUCAAUGGCUGUUAUUGGAAUUUUCAGGAUGGCCUAAUAGAGAUGGAGCAUAUAUUCUAGAUGAAAGGUUUUACAAAAAGCUAUGUGGAAGCUGCUUCUAUAACAAGGUGUUCUAUAUCCAAUAAAAAUGAUAAUUCUGCUUCUACUUUGGAAGGAGUUUCUGUUGGCUGAUAAUGUUGCUUCAAAGAAGGCUCCAGCGGAUGCUAUACUUGUGGACUUUGGUGAACUUAAUUGACGAACUGUUUGCAAGAUGUCUUGGGUUUCAUGCUUAGUAGCAGUAACCAAAAAAUGAAAAAAAAAAAGAAAAGAAAAGUGCUGUGCUAUUCUUGCAAUGACUUCCACUGGGUUCACUUGCUGAAACCUGCUUGUUGCCUUUGGAGUGACCAGCUGCUGAUGAUGCUCGACAUGCAGUGAUUCUAAGUGACAUUUUUUGAGAUUUCUCUAUAACAUGUUUUGCUGAAGCCUCCUUCCUUUUACUGGACCAAGCAAUGGCAUAAUUAAUAUCCUCCGCAAUCUUUAGGAAGUUCAGCUUUUACCAAUGUAAAUAUUGCACAUAAGUUGUAGAAGCCCUGAUUAGUAGGUUCUGGAAAAUUUAUAAUUUGGCAAACUUAGUGGUACGCUUUUUGGAAUCUCUUAUUCAAGAAGUCCAAGUGAUAUUUUUACGUGGUAUUGAGGGUCUGUCAAGUUUAUUCAGUGGCGUAAGGGAUUCUUUCAAUGCACUCCAUGUGGCGAGAGUUUGGCUUCCAUGCACAAUAUGUGCAUAUGAAGAACCUUUCCAGGUUAGCAAGGCAGAAUUUGUCGAUUGCGAAUAGUUGCAAUCGCAGUUGUUUCCAAAAAGUUUGCUAAUAGAUUGAGCUUGUUCCAUCUCUUUUUAAGUUUUGCAAAAACCUGAAGGCGUGCAAAGUCACUGGAUUUUAAGUUACUGAAGGCAGCAGCUCUAAAGAGAGGAUUUUCUUCUUGUGCAUGGUGGCUGAAGAUAAUCUUAUUCGACUGCUCGGUGAGACAGGAUUUCAGGUAACAGUUGUUGAACUUGAUGAUGGUUCCAAGUGCAAUGAGGCUGCUUAAAAGUUGUCAGCUAAGCAACACAUUUGUACCGCUCAUCUGUCUCUUUGGUGUCAUCAUGUUAAAUGUGAGAUCUCUCUUUCAUGUCAGUAUCUUGGAUAUGUUGCAUUCCUAGGAGCGGAGGAUGUUUUGAAGGUCUGGAUGGCUCUUCUUCAUUGAUGCCUUGCUGUGCUGAAAGUUGUGGACUUGGUUGAUUGUGCCGAGUACGAGUUGUGAGAAAAAGUUCAUCGAUACAAUCACUUAUUUCUGGUUGAAUGAACCUGGACUAUCCAUCUGCAUGCGUUCUGGAGCUGAGAUGUUGUUACACGCCUUUGGCAUAUUCGUUUACUAGUUUAUAAUGGCUCUGGGAGUUUUCAGGCUCAGAUUGUCCGAGUAUCCCAUGUACUUUGCUGUUUUCAUUCCUGUGCUCUUUAAAGGUUUCACAACUGGCUGCAAAAAUCAUCUGUGGAAAUCAUCCACAUCUUCUUCCCUUUGGCAGUCAUUUUGAGUGAAUUGCGUCUGGUCAGUUGCUGAAUUUGAGAUGGAUGGUAAGAGGGACACAGAAAUGCAGUUUCUUCCUUGUGUUGACGACAGAUUGCGCAGGGUAUGAACUAUGAAUAGAAAGAAUGGCAAAUUUUGGUUUGUAAAGAGUUUUGUAGGUGUCAAGCGUCCUUGGCGAAGAUCAUAUUUAUGCUAACUUCUAAAAAAAAAAAAUCAUUUUAUACUGCCGAGAGAUGAUGUCAAUGGAGGAGCUCCUUGUACGGUUGGAAUGUCCAUCCAUCUUCUUCUUAUAUGCCAUGCCGAAGAUGAGAUCACAUCCAUUCAUUUGUUGAAAUGAAAUGACCUCACAAAUUAUUUGUAUU
Coffea eugenioides is the source of this 3350-nucleotide RNA transcript. RefSeq lists it as uncharacterized. The transcript is spliced from 5 exons. Lineage: Eukaryota; Viridiplantae; Streptophyta; Magnoliopsida; Gentianales; Rubiaceae. The record is from RefSeq and is a predicted model, not a curated record.